RNAcentral lists this long non-coding RNA (355 nucleotides) under Mus caroli (Ryukyu mouse). RNAcentral's name for it is "lncRNA (MGP_CAROLIEiJ_G0013856.1)". The record is from RNAcentral. Lineage: Eukaryota; Metazoa; Chordata; Mammalia; Rodentia; Muridae.
CUCUCUGUCUUUUCCUGUCUUUCUCCCUCCCUUAUUUUCUCUUUCUUUAAGAAAAGAUGUAUUCAUUUAUGUAUUUUAUGUGUAUGUGUGAAUGCCUGCAUGUAUGUAUGCACCACAUGCGUGCCUGUGCCUGCUGCCCACAGAAGCCAGAAGUCAUUGGUUCUCCUGGAGCUGUAGUAUUGCAGACCCAUAACUGGUGUUACACCCCCACUCCCUGCCACCACAAAUACUGAGUCCAUUCCAGGAAUAGAAACCGCCGAAGGAUUACAUUCUCCACGGAGAACGAUCUCUAUGAAGGUAGCUAACCAAGCCAGCUUUUCCCCUUUUAUAAGCAACAGUUCCAGUGUCUUGCUGC